AAAUUGAAGAGUUUGAUCAUGGCUCAGAUUGAACGCUGGCGGCAGGCCUAACACAUGCAAGUCGAGCGGUAACACAGAGAGCUUGCUCUCGGGUGACGAGCGGCGGACGGGUGAGUAAUGUCUGGGAAACUGCCUGAUGGAGGGGGAUAACUACUGGAAACGGUAGCUAAUACCGCAUA
RNAcentral lists this ribosomal RNA (179 nucleotides) under Klebsiella pneumoniae. Its description in RNAcentral is "partial 16S ribosomal RNA". It matches the Rfam family "Bacterial small subunit ribosomal RNA", at positions 1 to 175 of the family's 1533-position model. Lineage: Bacteria; Pseudomonadati; Pseudomonadota; Gammaproteobacteria; Enterobacterales; Enterobacteriaceae. The record is from RNAcentral.